UGGGGAAUGUUGCACAAUGGGCGCAAGCCUGAUGCAGCCAUGCCGCGUGUAUGAAGAAGGCCUUCGGGUUGUAAAGUACUUUCAGCGGGGAGGAAGGGAGUAAAGUUAAUACCUUUGCUCAUUGACGUUACCCGCAGAAGAAGCACCGGCUAACUCCGUGCCAGCAGCCGCGGUAAUACGGAGGGUGCAAGCGUUAAUCGGAAUUACUGGGCGUAAAGCGCACGCAGGCGGUCUGUCAAGUCGGAUGUGAAAGCCCCGGGCUCAACCUGGGAACUGCAUUCGAAACUGGCAGGCUAGAGUCUUGUAGAGGGGGGUAGAAUUCCAGGUGUAGCGGUGAAAUACGUAGAGAUCUGGAGGAAUACCGGUGGCGAAGGCGGCCCCCUGGACAAAGACUGACGCUCAGGUGCGAAAGCGUGGGGAGCAAACAGG
This 429-nucleotide ribosomal RNA is filed under the name Chloroflexota bacterium. Its description in RNAcentral is "Chloroflexi bacterium partial 16S ribosomal RNA". It matches the Rfam family "Bacterial small subunit ribosomal RNA", at positions 355 to 776 of the family's 1533-position model. The record is from RNAcentral. Lineage: Bacteria; Bacillati; Chloroflexota.